RNAcentral lists this ribosomal RNA (1236 nucleotides) under Triticum aestivum (bread wheat). RNAcentral's name for it is "partial small subunit ribosomal RNA". Lineage: Eukaryota; Viridiplantae; Streptophyta; Magnoliopsida; Poales; Poaceae. The record is from RNAcentral.
AUGGCCGACGCGAUGGCCGCCGCCGCCGCCGGAGAGAGUCCGCCGCUGCAGGCGGACUACUUCUUCGGGAGGCCAUGGCCCGAUCUCAACGAAGGACUCUCCUACACCGAUACAUUCCGCGGCGCCGAUGCGGAAACCACCGCCGCCUUGAUCAACUUCUACUCCGAGAACUACAAGAGCUCGGCGCCAUUGCCAGGGUGGAUUCAUAGGAUUCGCAAUGGACAGAUAACGGUUGAUGGCCAAGUUGUCACUGAUCCAGAUAUGAUUCUCAGGGUGGGUUCUAAGUUGGUAUAUCAUCGCCUCGCAUGGAAGGAGCCAUUUGCACCACAUUUGCUUCAAGUGCUUUAUGAAGAUGACGACAUGGUCGCCCUUAACAAGCCUUGCGGUUUGCAAGUUCUGCCAAAAGGAAUCUUCCAGCAGCGCACUGUUCUAGCACAGCUUCAGUGGAAAGAGUGGAAGAUGCCCCCAUCAAGCUGCUCUAAGAGAAAAAAUGUGCAGUUACAUCCUGUACCUGUUCAUCGAUUAGGAAGGGGCACGUCAGGUCUACUGUUUUGUGCCAAGACAAAGCUUGCCAAAGUUCAACUUGCAUCUUAUUUUGCAGAAGGUGCUGCAAAUGCAGAGAAGAAAAGGGAUGGAACUGAGGUGGGCAAAGAACGGAAAAUUUCAAAAUUCUAUCGAGCAUUAGUAACUGGUAUACUUGAACACAAUGAGGAUGUGGUUACUCAACCCAUAGGAUUGGUUCACUACCCUGGAGUUGCAGAGGGACUUUAUGUGGCAUGUUCCUCAGGAAAGCCAGCCAUGAGCAAAGUGUGUGUUCUUGAGAGACUUUUGCAUCAAAAUCAAACGCUGGUCCAGGUUGAAAUUCAUUCAGGACGGCCUCACCAAAUCCGAAUACACCUUGCAUACAUUGGACACCCUCUUGUUGAUGAUCCUCUCUAUGGUAUUGGUGGGCAGCCUAAAUUUGAUGACCUGGAAUCUACUAGUACGGAUAUUUCUUUUGCAUAUGACGGAGGUUAUGAGAGGCCUUUACAGCCUGUUCCCGGAGACUGUGGGUAUCACUUGCAUGCUCAUUGGCUGGUCCUUUCUCAUCCAACCACGAAUAAGAUGGUGAAGAUAACUGCCCCUCUGCCGCAUAUCCUACAAACUCGAGAGGAGCGUUGCGAUCCGCAAGUUGAUACUUCAGCUCAUAACUUUCCAUUUGAAAGUAUGUGCAUCCAUGAGUUGAGCAAUCAGUAA